UGGCUUAGUGGGUAAAGAAUCUGCCUGCAAUGCAGGAAGACACAGGCAGAUGAGGGUUCGAUCCCUC
RNAcentral lists this transfer RNA (67 nucleotides) under Bos grunniens (domestic yak). The record is from Rfam by way of RNAcentral. Lineage: Eukaryota; Metazoa; Chordata; Mammalia; Artiodactyla; Bovidae. RNAcentral also lists the same sequence under 3 other names.